Drosophila simulans is the source of this 58-nucleotide non-coding RNA. NCBI's taxonomy places the organism in Eukaryota, Metazoa, Arthropoda, Insecta, Diptera, Drosophilidae. The record is from Rfam.
GUGGGUAGAACUUUGAUUAAUAUUGCUUGAGAAUAUUAGUCAAAGAUUUUCCCCAUAG